AAACUCACCAGGUCAGGACACGGUAAGGAUUGACGGACUGAAGGCUCUUUCUCGAUUCCGUGGAAAGUGGUGCAUGGCCGUUUUUGGUUGGUGGAUCGAUCCGUCUGGUUAAUUCCGUUAACGAACGAGACCUCGGCACUCCGAAUAGCGCGGCGGACGUCGCGGCCUCCGGGCCGUCUUCCGCACGAGCUUCUUAGAGGGGACCGUCCCCCCGCCGGGGAAGGAGGUGCGAGGCAACGACAGGUCUGUGAUGCCCUUAGAUGUUCUGGGCCGCACGCGCAUUACACUGACGCGUCCAACGGGUGACUCCCGACCCGAAGGGGCCGGGGAAUCCGCAAGGCGCGUCGUGAUGGGGAUUGAACGUUGCAAUUGUUGUUCACGAACGAGGAAUUCCUAGUAGGCGCGGGGUCAUCAACCCGCGCCGAUUACGUCCCUGCCCUUUGUACACACCGCC
This 454-nucleotide ribosomal RNA is filed under the name uncultured eukaryote. RNAcentral describes it as "bacterial SSU rRNA". It matches the Rfam family "Eukaryotic small subunit ribosomal RNA", at positions 1211 to 1673 of the family's 1831-position model. The record is from RNAcentral.